RNAcentral lists this ribosomal RNA (465 nucleotides) under uncultured bacterium. Its description in RNAcentral is "bacterial SSU rRNA". It matches the Rfam family "Bacterial small subunit ribosomal RNA", at positions 338 to 795 of the family's 1533-position model. The record is from RNAcentral.
CCUACGGGGGGCAGCAGUGGGGAAUUUUGGACAAUGGGCGCAAGCCUGAUCCAGCCAUGCCGCGUGCAGGAUGAAGGCCUUCGGGUUGUAAACUGCUUUUGUACGGAACGAAAAGGUUUGGCCUAAUACGCUGAACUCAUGACGGUACCGUAAGAAUAAGCACCGGCUAACUACGUGCCAGCAGCCGCGGUAAUACGUAGGGUGCGAGCGUUAAUCGGAAUUACUGGGCGUAAAGCGUGCGCAGGCGGUUAUGUAAGACAGAUGUGAAAUCCCCGGGCUCAACCUGGGAACUGCAUUAGUGACUGCAUAGCUGGAGUACGGCAGAGGGGGAUGGAAUUCCGCGUGUAGCAGUGAAAUGCGUAGAUAUGCGGAGGAACACCGAUGGCGAAGGCAAUCCCCUGGGCCUGUACUGACGCUCAUGCACGAAAGCGUGGGGAGCAAACAGGAUUAGAUACCCCAGUAGUC